AGCAAAUGUCCCACUCCCACAUCAUUAUUCAUUCUUUAACCAUUUUUCUUAAUCAUCAGUCUCUUUUACUUUCUUCUCUUCCUCUUCACUGGUCUUGGCAUGAUAACCUGGAAGCUUCUCUUUAAUCUUUUCCAGAAUGCCCUUCUUCUCCUCCGGAUGUUCCACCGGAUGCUCCGUCGUAGGCUCCACUGGAUGCUCCGUUACAACCAACGGUGUGCUGGUAACAGCUGGUGAAUCCUCUGGAGUCUUGUCGUGGUGGCCAGGAAGCUUCUCCUUGAUCUUCUCCCCUAGUCCUUUCUUCUCUUCCUCGGUUUGGUCAUGCUCCACCACACUCUCCGACACUGGUACCGGGAUGGUAGUGGAAACUGGUACAUCAUCCUCUGGUUUCUUGUCGUGGUGGCCUGGAAGCUUCUCCUUGAUCUUCUCCGCUAGUCCUUGCUUCUCUUCCUCUCCUUCAACGAUCUUCUUCUUCUCCUUCUUCUCCUCCCCUUCUUCAUCGCUCGACUGUUAGAUAUUCAAAUUUCAAGAACCAUGAGUAUGAUUAUUGGUACAAUCAAGAUCUACAAAACUAAUCUAAAUCUUGUAUAUAAGUAUCUCUUAUCAACCAUUUCGAUCAAAUCAAAUUUCAUAAAUUUUUACUUACAGAGGAAGCAGAGCUGUUGGAUCGGUGAAGCUUUUCGAUGACACUAGGCUUGUUCUCCUCAUCUUCCUCGGUCUUCUCUUGAAGCUCUUCAAGGAGAGUAAUCUUGUUCUCCUUCACUUCCUCGUGCUCCGCAGCUAACUCCGGUUCCGAGAUCUGAGCCUUAUGAUCAAACUCAGACUCGAGCGUCGUUGUCUCUUGAGGUUUCACUUCCUCUUCCUUCUUCCCCAAGAAAUCAAACAAUCCACGAUCCGUAACCUCUGUAGUCGUCGCUGGUGAUUCCUCUGUUGCGACCUUUGGUGUCUCGUGCUCGGGAACGUUGUUCUUGUACUCCUCAGCCAUAGUUAAUCUUGAUUCGAUUGAAAGGUUAACAGUAAACAGAAUAAUAUGUGAGAUUUGUGUAGUUGCUUUUAGAUUGUUUUGUGAAUGAGUAAUGUUUAUGAUGAGAGAAGAGAGAGCGGGGGUUUUUAUAGUGUCAAGAGACUCAAGACUCAAGAGAAGGGUCCAGGCCAACGCGGAGGUAACGCUGUAAAGAUUUUUUUUUUUUUUUUUUUUUUGUCAAAACGCUGUAAAGAUUUAGUUAAUUUAUUUAGUAAUCCAAAAGAUGGAUAUUUAUUUCUGGAAUUGCAUAAUGACCCCUUUUUCUUUAAGUCGGUAGAUGAAUAUCAUGAUAUCACCACCUUAUUUUUUCUUAAUUUAAGGAUUUAUGUUUUAAUAUGUAGAUGAAGAGUUAAACUAAUAUUAGAUAAUCGCAUAGUCAUGUACUUUUAUCUACAGGAGCUGUAUCAAACUAUAGUCUAUGGUUACGUGGUUGAAGUCCAUCCUUUUAUUCUAUUAUUUUAUUGCAUUUUAUCAAAUUAAAUAGAUAACAGAUGUAUAAGUAAAGAGUUUCAAUGGACUAGGAGUAUAAUGUAGUGGUUUGGAAUUUGAAUUUGAUGUUAUGUCACCAUCAUAUUAUUUCAAGCUUUUUGUAAGAAGAAAAAACAAAACACUAAAUAAUUUGUCUGGAAAUAGAACUUAACAAUUUUUAACAUUUUUUCUUGUUUUUUAUUUUAAAUUGUUUUGACCUUUUACUUUACUAAAAAAAAAUAUGAAAGAAAGUUCAAACUUCAAAAGGGGUGUUUCCAACUCUUUUAAGACUUUCAGGUUAUGUCUCUAAAAUUUAUAAAUAAAGGGGUAAAGUAAAAUAAAUAGGAAGUAAUUAUAACCGAAAUAUGAACAGCAUUAACCAGCCAAAAGAUCAGUAUAAAUGGAAAAAGAUCAGUAUAAAUGGAAAGACUAAUGUAAACAUUAGAAUAAUUUAGAAGUUAGAACGAAUUAGAAGAAAAACAGAAUAAUGUAGAAGGCAUAGAUGGAGCCAAUAUACUACUAACACGUGUCAAAAGAGGUGUAAGGGCCCCACACAUGGAACUGAAUGGUCGGCUUUGAUAGGCUUUAAGCAUAGUUGUCGGUCAUGUGGGCCAUUAGACACGUCGGCUAUAGCUAGAUUGCAGAUAUUUUGCGGGUAAAUUACAAACAUGGCAUUAUUACUCCUCUAAUAAAUUGCCUUUUUAAGAACUAAGACGUUAAUUUGUUCAAAAAAAAAAAAAAAAAAAAAGAACUAAGACGUUAACAAAAAAAAAUUAUGCAUCAAAGUAGAUUUUAAUUUUGAAAUAAAUUUGUCAGAAGAUAAACAACGGUAUUGAAAUAAUUAUAUUAUAAGUAUGAAAUUUUAGGUAUGUGAUGUCGUUUUUUGGCUUGUAUGAUAACGGACGAAAGCUUUAUCGUUAUAUUUAAAUAAGAUUUAACAGAUGGGGCAUUUGAGAACGCACAAUUUCGGAUUUUGCUUAAAGUUAUUAAAUUAUAUGAAUCGUGUUCGGUUGAAAGAUUUAAGACGUUGUGCCACUUGAUAAAUUGAGACGUUUCAUGAACACGCGACCCGUAAUUAACAGACCGAAUUUUAAAAAACUUAGGCAUUGGGGUGGUCACUCUACCGACACAUAAUACCAAACAAAGCAAUCGUUUUCGUUUGCUAUAUUGAUUUUAAUUAAUUUAUCGCGUUAAACUUUUACAAACUACAAUAUAAACAAAUUUGUGUAACCACAUGUAAAUUUACCUGACCUAAAAAAAAAACGAAAAAAAAUCUAACCGCAUUUCUCAAAGAAUCAUAUAGAAAAUGAAUUGAUCUUAUAGAGAUGUACUAUUUGAUUAGAAACAAAUGUUGAACCGAAUCUAAACCAUUAUCAAACCGGCUUUUAUAUAUUUUAAACUGGAAAUCUUAAAAAUUGAACCAUAGCCAUAUCAAAUACCUCGGCACUAAAAUAUGAUAUGCUGUGCCGAAAAUUUAGCAAUUAGGCUAUCAAAACGGAUCAAGGUCUACGACUUUCAAUUAACAAUCAAGCACAUGAUGCGGGUACGGCCCGAUUAUAAAGUCUAUGCACGGGUUCUAUAUAUACGUCAUGUAUACAAAAAAUAAGAUGGUGAGACAAUGAUGAUAUGUGUCUAGGCUACAUAUGUCUUGGUCAAAUAUAAGUCUAUUAUAAACUGAAAUUUUAAAAACUCUUUCUUUUACGAAUUGACAAGUCUAUUGCCUAGUUCACUCACUACUAAUAUUAAGAAGUAAUUAGUAUAUUCAUUUUUUUUUCGUCGUCUAAAUUUAUUACUAAUUGCAAAAUUAUGAGAACUAUUACAUAGACGAUUUUACAACUGAUAAUUCUUUCCGAUUUUUACUAGAUUCACGACAGACUACACUUCCUUCUUCGUGAUCUUGAUGAAUACCAACAUGAUCCACAACCUGGCGACACUUCCUUCUCUGCGUAGAAUCCUGGCGAACGGCUAUAAUUGUACAUCGUUGGAGAUCUCUUGCACAUUUGCCUCCAUUAAUAUGCAAAUUUGUUAAUAAAUCGCAAUAUCUGGGACUCGAACCCCAGACCUCUUGGUGUAGAAGCAUUAAUCAAUCCUUGGUCAACCAAUGGGCCAAGGGGCUUCCACAAUUAGUAUAUUCAUUUAUGUACAAAAAUACUAAUAAUUAAAUCCAUAAAUGUGAUCUUGAACUGGUCUAUUAUUAUGAAUGUAGCUAUAAUUUCCAUAUAUAUCAAAUGUUAAAUACUUUUUUUUUGGAAAAACUAAAAUUUUAAAUACUAACUAUAUUAAAUUUAGCAUGUCAUUUGGUUCAACGAAAUCCAUAAAGAAAAGUUGGUACAUCUUACAGUUCUCAUGAACAACAAUAGUUCCAGGUGAAAUUAUUGAGUCACCAUAUAUUUAUUUAACGCUAGCAUGCUUUCAUCUGAAAUUCUGAUUUUCUUUACAUAAACACUAUUCAUGAGAAAUCAUCCAUUUAAGCUCCAUUGAGUAUACGAUUGUUUCCAAUAGAUAAAUAGUUUUAUAUAAUAAACACAAAUGAUCUAUCACUAAACACAAACUUGGAUAACACAGCUUGAAAUACAAAAGAAAAGAGAUAAUGAUCAACAUUAAAAAAAAAAAACACAACAAAUGUUCCACUCCCACAUCAUUAUUAUUCAUUCUUUCAUCUUUUUCUCUUAAAGAGACUCUUUAUCUUUCUUCUCUUCCUCUCCACUAGUCUUGGCAUGAUAACCUGGAAGCUUCUCUUUGAUCUUAUCCAUAAACCCCUUCUUCUCCUCCGGAUGCUCCGCGAUCGGUGUUGCUGUUUCAACCAGCGGUGCGGUGUUGACGACCUGUGACUCCUCUGGUUUCUUGCUGUGGCCUGGAAGCUUCUCUUUGAUCUUAUCCAUUAAUCCUUUCUUCUCUUCUUCCUCUGGUUUUUUAUCGUCUACCAAAUGUGGUGCUGGCAUGGUGGUGACGACUGGUACAUCAUGACCCUCUGGUUUCUCGCCGUAUGGAAACUUCUCCUUGAUCUUGUCCAUUACUCCUUGGUUCUCCUCUUCCUCUGUUUUCACAUCACCUUCAACGAUCUUUUUCUUCUCCUUCUUCUUCUUUCUCUUCUCACCGUCUUCACCUUCUUCAUCACUUGACUGUUGAAUAUUCAGAAUUUCAAAACCAUGAGUUUGUUUCAAGAUUUAACCAAAAAAACUAUAAACGAAUCAAACUUUUACUUACAGAGGAAGAAGAGCUGUUGGAACGGUGGAGUUUGUCGAGGAGACCAUGCUUGUUUUCUUCUUCCUCCUCGUGUUUCUGGUGAAGCUUCUCAAGGAGAGUAGGCUUAUGUUCCUUCAGUUCCUCGUCUUCGUGCUUGGCCACAGACGGCUCUGGUUCAGAGAUCUGAGUCUUGUGCUCGAACUCAGAUGCGAGAGUUGUCGUUUCUUGAG
Molecule: long non-coding RNA, 4905 nt
Filed under: Arabidopsis lyrata
Lineage: Eukaryota; Viridiplantae; Streptophyta; Magnoliopsida; Brassicales; Brassicaceae
Description: long non-coding RNA (ALYR_LNC003041)
Source: RNAcentral